This is a long non-coding RNA of Gallus gallus (chicken), 2732 nucleotides long. NCBI's taxonomy places the organism in Eukaryota, Metazoa, Chordata, Aves, Galliformes, Phasianidae. The record is from Ensembl.
GUAAACUCUCACCAAAUAAGAUUUCAGUUACAAAGGUCACUCAGCAAUUUAAACUUAGGAACUUUGGACUUAGUGCGCAGGCUUAGUAGGCUAAUCAAUACAAACUUCUCUGCCCUGAGCUGCAUAAAGCUGGAGUUAGUUACACAUCUGAUUCAUGAUACGAAGGGGAGUCACAUACAAGGGGGAACACAUGGUAUGUGGGUUGGCUCAACAAGUCGUGCCUGAUAAACAUGGUGGCCUUUUAUGAUGGAGCUAUAGUGUCAGUACAUAUUGGAAAAGCAACUGAUAUCACCUACUUGGACUUGAGCAAAGCACUUGACGCUCUCUCGCAUGACAUUCUGGUCACAAAAUUGAAGAAAAAUGGAUUUGUUGGAUGGACCAAUCACUGAAUAAGGAAUUGACUGGAUGGUCACACUCAGAGACGUGUGGUCAGUGACUUUACAUCCAAGUAGAAACCAGUGAUGAAUGGUAUUCCUUGGGGACUCCUGCUGGGACUAGUGUUUUUUAACAUCUUUGCUGGUGAUAUGGACAGUGGGAUCAAGUACACUCUCAGUAAGUCUGCAGAUGACACCAAACUGAGUGGUGCAGUUGACACACUAGAGGGAAGGGAUGACAUCCAGAGGGACCUGGACAGGCUUGAGAGGUGGGCCCACGUCAACUGUGUUAACUUCAACAAUGCCAAAUAGAAGGUACUGCUCCUGGGUUGGGGCAAUCCUAAGCACAAAUAUAGGUUGAGUGGAGAAUGGGUUGAGAGUAGCCCUGAGCAGAAGGAUUUUGGUAAGGGUGUUGGUAAAUGAGAGAAUCAGUUUAAGUCAGCAAUGUGCACUUGCAGCCCAGAAGGCCAACCAUAUGCUGGUUUGCAUCAAAAGAAGUAUGACCAGCAGGCUGAAGGAGGUUGCUCUGCCCAUCUACUCUGCUCUCAUGAGACCCCACCUGGAGUACUGCAUCCAGUACUGAGUCCUCCAAAACAAGAAGGACAUUGAGCUAUUUGAGUAGGUCCAGAGGAGGGCCAUGAAGAUGAUCAGAGGUCUGAAGUACCUCUCUUAUGGAGACAGGCUGACAGAAGUGGGGCUCUUCUCAGCCUGGAGAAGAGAAGACUCUAGGGGGAAUCUUGUAGAAGCCUUCCAGAACCGGAAGGGUGCAUAAGGGAAAAUAAGGGAGGGACUUUUUGUAAGGGCAUGUAGUUACAGGACAAGGGGAAAUGGCUUUUAACUAGAAGAGAGUGAACAUUAGGAAUAAAUUCAUUACAGUGAAGGUGAUGAGACACUGGAACAGGCUACUGAGAGAAGUUGUGAAUAUCACCACCCUGAAGAUGUUCAGUGCCAGGCUGGAUGGAGCUUUGAACAUCCUGGUCUAGUGGUAUAUGUCCCUGCCUGUAGCAGAGGAGUUGGAACUAGAUCUUAAAAGUCCUAGCUUUAAACUAGGUUUGAAGAUCAAAGGAGAUUAAACCAGAAUCACUAGAGAUGAGACUAGGUGCAGCAUUCCAGGGUCAGGAAGUAGACUGUUAGACAAGAUGAAGUGUAUCUAUACUAAUGAACACAGCAUGGGCAACAAACAGAAGAAACUAGAAGUCACUGUGUGACAGGAAAACUAUGACUUAGUCACUGUCAUCUAAACGUGGUGGGAACAUCCUCAUGACUUUGCUGCAAUGGAGCAAAGCUAUUUAGAUAGGAUAGUCAAGGCAAGAGGGGUAAUGGGAUGGCACUCUAGAAUUUUGAUGUUGUGGAGCCCAAUAUUGGGAAUGAUAAUGUCAAGCGCUCAUAGGAUAAGGGAAAGGCCAAUUAUGCUGAUAUCCUUGUGAGAGUCUGAUACAAACCACAUAAGCAGGAUGAAGAGAUAGAUGGAAUGUUCUUUAAACGUCUGGCAUCACUCAUGCAAUUCGUAGCCCUUGAUCUCAUAGGGGACUUCAACUUACCUGAUGUCUGCUGGAAUUGCAGUAUAGCAGAGAAGAAGCAGUCUAGGAGGUCCCUGGAGUGUGUGGAAGACAACUUCCUGACACAGCUGUUAGGACAGCAUACAAGGGAAAGCACUCCUUAAGAGUUGCUGUUUACAGACAGAGAAGGAAUGUUGGAAAAUGUGGCUGAAAUCUGUCUUGGGUACAGCAACCACAAAAUGGUAGAGUUCUCUAUCUCUGGUGAAAUCAGGAGGGGGGGUCAGCAAAACUGCUACCCUGAACUUCCAGAGGUUAAACUCUGAACUGUUUAAAUCGUUGGUUGGCAGAAUUUCUUGGGAGUCAGUUCUGAUUGCAAAAGGGCCCAGGGAGUCUAGACUUUCCUCAAGAAAGAAACUUCAAAGACACAAAAACAGGCUGUCCCACUGUGCUAUAUGAUGAUCUAGCAGGGAAGAGAACCAGCCUGACUGAACAGGAAGUUUUUGCUGAGACACUCACAAAAAAGGAGAAUUGAUGAUAUUUGCAAGAAGAGUCAGGCAACUCAAGAAGAGUAUAAGAAUGCCCUCAAGGCAUGCAAAGAGAAAAUCAGAAAAGCAAAAGCCCAGCAAGAAUCUAAUCUGGCCUCCAUUGUUAAUAGUAAAAAUAUGCUUUUACAAAUAUAUUAACAGCAAGAGGAGGGCCAAGGAGAAUCUGCAUCCUUUAACAGAUGCAGCAGGGAACAUUAUCUCCAAGGAUGAUGGAAAAGAUGAGGUUCUCAAUGACUUCUUUACUUGUGUCUUUUAUAGUCAGGCCCGUUAGCUUCAGGGUACUCAGCUCCCUGGCAGACAGGAAUGAGGAGGAA